AUCGCUUCUUGGCCUUUUGGCUAAGAUCAAGUGUAGUAUCUGUUCUUAUCAGUGAAUUUCUUAGAAAUUCAAAAUUUACUAAGUUGAUGUUGAUAUGCUUAUGUUAAUAUCUUAAACUCUUAAGAUUACCAGGAUUUAUGUCUCUUUAACUGAUUUUUAUUCCUCAGUAGGGUCUAUGAAUUUUCAGAGAUCCCUUCAGCUUCU
This 204-nucleotide small nuclear RNA is filed under the name Panthera leo (lion). RNAcentral describes it as "U2 spliceosomal RNA (ENSPLOG00000018682.1)". The stretch from base 1 to 101 matches the Rfam family "U2 spliceosomal RNA". The record is from RNAcentral. Lineage: Eukaryota; Metazoa; Chordata; Mammalia; Carnivora; Felidae.